AAGGCGAACGCUCCUUCAUCAAGGAGAACCAUCCCGACGCGGACAUCUCUGGCGACAUGGCUGGUGGGUAGGCCCUCUCCUCUUCCCUACCGACCAGAUCCAUCGAGCACGUCUCCUAGCACACGGGAAGGUGCGCCCCUCUCCCCUCCCCCUCCCUUCUCUGUUUGAUUCGGUUAUGUAGCUGUGGAUUCGGUUUCAUCAAGUCCACUACAUCUGGCGGCCCUUGCUGAAAUUCCAGAUCGAUCAUGCCCAUAAUUUAGCCAAUAAUGAUCUCUCCCGAUCCCGACAAUGAUAGGCGUAUCUCCAAAGUGUUGUUUUUCUGCGGGCAACAUCUCAAGACUUUGGCGUACACUGCUACAUGGGGAGAAACUAACCUGCUUUUCCACUGCAUUCUUUUGUGUAAGAUGUUGUUUGCCCAGCAACUACCUGCGAUUCUAGCAGCUGUACAAGGACCCUCCAUCGAGAAGCCAGGCUAGGGAAAAGCAUAAUCACACUGGCCUACAUGUCCUGCAGACUGAACUUAUAUAUUGUGCAUCUCGAAAUAACUAUCAGCUAUAUCCUGAGUGCCGAAUACUUUUAGUUGUAUGUACAAAAUACUGAAGCAAUAUAAUCUUCACAGAUAUCCAUGUGUGUUUGAUAUUUGCUUUAUGAAGCAGGGAGAGAGAGGAGAGCUGGAAACUAAAUGGACCCUCAAAUGGCCGGUACAAGAGAGUUUAUGGUGUUUUACUAAACCCCAAAGUUCUACCUCUGUAACUGUAGGGAAUUAAUGGAGUUAUUCUGCCAUCUCAAAAUGAUGGAUAUUUUGCCUCUCAACUGAGAAGAUUACUAUGUUAUAUUUGUUGUGGCUACUUAUUCUAUUGGAUGUAUUCUCCAUGAGUCCCCAUGAGAGACUAAAUUCUCCAGAACAAUUCAACCCAGUCAUAUGAUAAAUAUGGUGCAUCAUAAUAUCAUGUAACUCAGGUACUACCUCGACGAUGUUAACGCUAUACAUAUUGCUAUAAUCAACGCUAUUUUUUACCUGCUUGAGAUUCUUAGUGUUUUAACAUCUCUUUCUGUUAUAGUGUUAAUGCAUUAUUCAAUAAAGGAGUAUGCGUACAAAUGGUUAACUAUAUCUAGCAACAUUCUACUCAAUAUUAAAGAAGCUGCACCAUUUGAAACCUUGGUACAGAUGCUUUCAAUUGUUUGCACUUCAAUGGGCUGUGUUUGAUUAUUGAUUGAGUGUGUUAUUCAAAAGAAAAUCUUUUCUGAACUUUAGAAGGGGAGCAUCGUGAGAGAUUGGGAAAGAGGCAGAGCACAUGUUCAUAUCUCGUAGUGCAUCGAACGGCUCUGGAUGACCAGCUUUUAAACAUGUGUGUGGACCAAAUUCACGGCGAUGAGAUAAGUCCUACUAACCUUGCUGGUUCUCCGCAUCAUUGAGAUAUGCUCUGGUUGUCCUACGGAUGUUCUUUGGACUACGAUAUUGACAUGAAGACAUUUAUCGUAAUGCCAAAUUUUAUGUAGUAAUGCCAAAUAUUAUGACAUGGAUGUGUUAUGGAUUAUGCUAUAUAUACAUGGAUGUGCUAUGGAUUAUGCUAUAUAUACAUGGAUGUGUUAUAUGCUGUAUGGAUUAUGGAUGUGUUAUAUGUUGUAUGGAUUAAGGAUGUUAUAUAUAUGAUGUAUGGAUUAAGGAUGUU
Molecule: long non-coding RNA, 1673 nt
Organism: Hordeum vulgare subsp. vulgare (domesticated barley)
Lineage: Eukaryota; Viridiplantae; Streptophyta; Magnoliopsida; Poales; Poaceae
Exons: 5
Source: RefSeq, a predicted model, not a curated record